Molecule: ribosomal RNA, 464 nt
Filed under: uncultured bacterium
Lineage: Bacteria
Description: partial 16S ribosomal RNA
Rfam family: Bacterial small subunit ribosomal RNA
Source: RNAcentral
CUACGGGGGGCUCCAGUGGGGAAUAUUGCACAAUGGGCGCAAGCCUGAUGCAGCCAUGCCGCGUGUAUGAAGAAGGCCUUCGGGUUGUAAAGUACUUUCAGCGGGGAGGAAGGGAGUAAAGUUAAUACCUUUGCUCAUUGACGUUACCCGCAGAAGAAGCACCGGCCAACUCGGUGCCAGCAGCCGCGGUAAUACGGAGGGUGCAAGCGUUAAUCGGAAUUACUGGGCGUAAAGCGCACGCAGGCGGUUUGUUAAGUCAGAUGUGAAAUCCCCGGGCUCAACCUGGGAACUGCAUCUGAUACUGGCAAGCUUGAGUCUCGUAGAGGGGGGUAGAAUUCCAGGUGUAGCGGUGAAAUGCGUAGAGAUCUGGAGGAAUACCGGUGGUGAAGGCGGCCCCCUGAACGAAGACUGACGCUCAGGUGCGAAAGCGUGGGGAGCAAACAGGAUUAGAUACCCGUGUAGUC